UUAAGCGACUAAGCGUACACGGUGGAUGCCCUGGCAGUCAGAGGCGAUGAAGGGCGUGCUAAUCUGCGAUAAGCGCCGGUAAGGUGAUAUGAACCGUUAUAACCGGCGAUACCCGAAUGGGGAAACCCAGUGUGACUCGUCACACUAUCAUUAACUGAAUCCAUAGGUUAAUGAGGCGAACCGGGGGAACUGAAACAUCUAAGUACCCCGAGGAAAAGAAAUCAACCGAGAUUCCCCCAGUAGCGGCGAGCGAACGGGGAGGAGCCCAGAGCCUGAAUCAGCAUGUGUGUUAGUGGAAGCGUCUGGAAAGGCGCGCGAUACAGGGUGACAGCCCCGUACACAAAAGCGCAUAUGCUGUGAGCUCGAUGAGUAGGGCGGGACACGUGGUAUCCUGUCUGAAUAUGGGGGGACCAUCCUCCAAGGCUAAAUACUCCUGACUGACCGAUAGUGAACCAGUACCGUGAGGGAAAGGCGAAAAGAACCCCGGCGAGGGGAGUGAAAAAGAACCUGAAACCGUGUACGUACAAGCAGUGGGAGCACAGGUUUACCUGUGUGACUGCGUACCUUUUGUAUAAUGGGUCAGCGACUUAUAUUCUGUAGCAAGGUUAACCGUAUAGGGGAGCCGUAGGGAAACCGAGUCUUAACCGGGCGUUAAGUUGCAGGGUAUAGACCCGAAACCCGGUGAUCUAGCCAUGGGCAGGUUGAAGGUUGGGUAACACUAACUGGAGGACCGAACCGACUAAUGUUGAAAAAUUAGCGGAUGACCUGUGGCUGGGGGUGAAAGGCCAAUCAAACCGGGAGAUAGCUGGUUCUCCCCGAAAGCUAUUUAGGUAGCGCCUCGUGAAUUCAUCUCCGGGGGUAGAGCACUGUUUCGGCUAGGGGGCCAUCCCGGCUUACCAACCCGAUGCAAACUGCGAAUACCGGAGAAUGUUAUCACGGGAGACACACGGCGGGUGCUAACGUCCGUCGUGAAGAGGGAAACAACCCAGACCGCCAGCUAAGGUCCCAAAGUCAUGGUUAAGUGGGAAACGAUGUGGGAAGGCCCAGACAGCCAGGAUGUUGGCUUAGAAGCAGCCAUCAUUUAAAGAAAGCGUAAUAGCUCACUGGUCGAGUCGGCCUGCGCGGAAGAUGUAACGGGGCUAAACCAUGCACCGAAGCUGCGGCAGCGACGUUUAUGCGUUGUUGGGUAGGGGAGCGUUCUGUAAGCCUGCGAAGGUGGCCUGUGAGGGUUGCUGGAGGUAUCAGAAGUGCGAAUGCUGACAUAAGUAACGAUAAAGCGGGUGAAAAGCCCGCUCGCCGGAAGACCAAGGGUUCCUGUCCAACGUUAAUCGGGGCAGGGUGAGUCGACCCCUAAGGCGAGGCCGAAAGGCGUAGUCGAUGGGAAACAGGUUAAUAUUCCUGUACUUGGUGUUACUGCGAAGGGGGGACGGAGAAGGCUAUGUUGGCCGGGCGACGGUUGUCCCGGUUUAAGCGUGUAGGUGUGUGUUCCAGGUAAAUCCGGUUCACUUUAACACUGAGGCGUGACGACGAGGCACUACGGUGCUGAAGCAACAAAUGCCCUGCUUCCAGGAAAAGCCUCUAAGCAUCAGGUAACAUCAAAUCGUACCCCAAACCGACACAGGUGGUCAGGUAGAGAAUACCAAGGCGCUUGAGAGAACUCGGGUGAAGGAACUAGGCAAAAUGGUGCCGUAACUUCGGGAGAAGGCACGCUGACACGUAGGUGAAGUGAUUUACUCACGGAGCUGAAGUCAGUCGAAGAUACCAGCUGGCUGCAACUGUUUAUUAAAAACACAGCACUGUGCAAACACGAAAGUGGACGUAUACGGUGUGACGCCUGCCCGGUGCCGGAAGGUUAAUUGAUGGGGUCAGCGCAAGCGAAGCUCCUGAUCGAAGCCCCGGUAAACGGCGGCCGUAACUAUAACGGUCCUAAGGUAGCGAAAUUCCUUGUCGGGUAAGUUCCGACCUGCACGAAUGGCGUAAUGAUGGCCAGGCUGUCUCCACCCGAGACUCAGUGAAAUUGAACUCGCUGUGAAGAUGCAGUGUACCCGCGGCAAGACGGAAAGACCCCGUGAACCUUUACUAUAGCUUGACACUGAACAUUGAGCCUUGAUGUGUAGGAUAGGUGGGAGGCUUUGAAGUGUGGACGCCAGUCUGCAUGGAGCCGGCCUUGAAAUACCACCCUUUAAUGUUUGAUGUUCUAACGUGGACCCGUGAUCCGGGUUGCGGACAGUGUCUGGUGGGUAGUUUGACUGGGGCGGUCUCCUCCUAAAGAGUAACGGAGGAGCACGAAGGUUGGCUAAUCCUGGUCGGACAUCAGGAGGUUAGUGCAAUGGCAUAAGCCAGCUUGACUGCGAGCGUGACGGCGCGAGCAGGUGCGAAAGCAGGUCAUAGUGAUCCGGUGGUUCUGAAUGGAAGGGCCAUCGCUCAACGGAUAAAAGGUACUCCGGGGAUAACAGGCUGAUACCGCCCAAGAGUUCAUAUCGACGGCGGUGUUUGGCACCUCGAUGUCGGCUCAUCACAUCCUGGGGCUGAAGUAGGUCCCAAGGGUAUGGCUGUUCGCCAUUUAAAGUGGUACGCGAGCUGGGUUUAGAACGUCGUGAGACAGUUCGGUCCCUAUCUGCCGUGGGCGCUGGAGAACUGAGGGGGGCUGCUCCUAGUACGAGAGGACCGGAGUGGACGCAUCACUGGUGUUCGGGUUGUCAUGCCAAUGGCACUGCCCGGUAGCUAAAUGCGGAAGAGAUAAGUGCUGAAAGCAUCUAAGCACGAAACUUGCCCCGAGAUGAGUUCUCCCUGAGACUUAGAGUCUCCUGAAGGAACGUUGAAGACGACGACGUUGAUAGGCCGGGUGUGUAAGCGCAGCGAUGCGUUGAGCUAACCGGUACUAAUGAACCGUGAGGCUUAACCU
This 2905-nucleotide ribosomal RNA is filed under the name Salmonella enterica. Its description in RNAcentral is "23S ribosomal RNA". It matches the Rfam family "Bacterial large subunit ribosomal RNA". Lineage: Bacteria; Pseudomonadati; Pseudomonadota; Gammaproteobacteria; Enterobacterales; Enterobacteriaceae. The record is from RNAcentral.